Molecule: ribosomal RNA, 576 nt
Filed under: Trichoderma spirale
Lineage: Eukaryota; Fungi; Ascomycota; Sordariomycetes; Hypocreales; Hypocreaceae
Description: eukaryotic LSU rRNA
Rfam family: Eukaryotic large subunit ribosomal RNA
Source: RNAcentral
UAAGCAUAUCAAUAAGCGGAGGAAAAGAAACCAACAGGGAUUGCCCCAGUAACGGCGAGUGAAGCGGCAACAGCUCAAAUUUGAAAUCUGGCCCCUCGGGGUCCGAGUUGUAAUUUGUAGAGGAUGCUUUUGGUGAGGUGCCGCCCGAGUUCCCUGGAACGGGACGCCACAGAGGGUGAGAGCCCCGUCUGGCUGGCCACCGAGCCUCUGUAAAGCUCCUUCGACGAGUCGAGUAGUUUGGGAAUGCUGCUCAAAAUGGGAGGUAUAUGUCUUCUAAAGCUAAAUAUUGGCCAGAGACCGAUAGCGCACAAGUAGAGUGAUCGAAAGAUGAAAAGCACCUUGAAAAGAGGGUUAAAUAGUACGUGAAAUUGUUGAAAGGGAAGCGCUUGUGACCAGACUUGGGCGCGGCGGAUCAUCCGGGGUUCUCUCCGGUGCACUUCGCCGCGUCUAGGCCAGCAUCAGUUCGUCGCGGGGGAAAAAGGUUUCGGGAACGUGGCUCCUCCGGGAGUGUUAUAGCCCGUUGCAUAAUACCCUGCGGUGGACUGAGGACCGCGCAUCUGCAAGGAUGCUGGCGUA